This 504-nucleotide ribosomal RNA is filed under the name Ampithoe longimana. RNAcentral's name for it is "partial 16S ribosomal RNA". The stretch from base 357 to 504 matches the Rfam family "Archaeal large subunit ribosomal RNA", at positions 2542 to 2690 of the family's 2987-position model. The record is from RNAcentral. Lineage: Eukaryota; Metazoa; Arthropoda; Malacostraca; Amphipoda; Ampithoidae.
CGCCUGUUUAUCAAAAACAUUUUUUCUUUAGUUUGAAAUAAGGUCUGCCCAGUGUUUAUAUAAACGGCUGCGGUAUCUUGACUGUGCUAAGGUAGCAUAAUAAUUUGUUUUUUAAUUGGAUACUGGAAUAAAUGAUUUUACAAUUAAAUUUUUUCUUUUUUGAGUUUAAUAAUUUAGAGUUUAAGUUAAAAUUCUUAAAUUUAUAAAAAAGACGAUAAGACCCUAAAAGCUUUAUUUUAUUUUCUUUUUAAUAAAGACAAAAAUUUUUUACUGGGGUAGUAUUUAUUUAAGGGUAAUAAAAUAAAAAACUUUUGGUUUUAUUUCUCUUUAUUAGAAAUUAAAUUAGUUACUUUAGGGAUAACAGCGUAAUAUUGUUGGAGAGAACAUAUCUAUAACAAUGUUUACGACCUCGAUGUUGAAUUAAUAGACCUUUUUAAAGCAGAUUUUAAAUAAGGGGGUUUGUUCAACCUUUAAUUUAUUACAUGAUCUGAGUUCAAACCGGAG